Molecule: long non-coding RNA, 2202 nt
Organism: Papaver somniferum (opium poppy)
Lineage: Eukaryota; Viridiplantae; Streptophyta; Magnoliopsida; Ranunculales; Papaveraceae
Exons: 6
Source: RefSeq, a predicted model, not a curated record
UUUAUUUUCUUUUCUCUUUUUUAUUUUUUUUCUUCUCUCUGUCUUUUAGUUCCUUUUCACUUCAUCUCAAAACAGAAAGAGAGAAAUCGAGUGAGAGACCAAGAUACAAAACCUCUCUUCAGAGUAUAUCAAAGCUAGAUUCAUACCUAAAUCGAUCGAAAAUCUCCUUGUUAGAUCUAUACCUUUAAGCCUAUUAGAACUCAGGUCUAUUCUUCUUCUUCUUCCAAACCUAAAUCCACCAGAAAUCGUCUUAAGCAUAUUAUUACCAGAAAUUAGUACCCGUUUUUACAUUGUUUGAGUAACCUAAUCUCAGAAGAAGUUUGAGGGACAAAAAUCCAAGAAGAUUCAGAUUUGAGUCUUAAGGAAAUUUUUGAGACUGAAAUCUGGUGUUUUUGCUUUGGUUGUCCAUGGAAGGUGAUAUGUGUAUUGGUUGAUUGCUUCAAUGUGCUGCGAAGAAGCGAGCCCCCUCAUUCAUACCUCUGCAGUUUUUGUCAAGCAAGAUUUGAAACGUUCUUUCUGCGCAUGUCUUGGUCUCUCUUGUCCUAACAUUUUAAUGACAUAAUUACCAUAUUAUUUUUCCUUCUUUUUUCUUGACAAUCAAAUAGUUUUUAUGUGCUUUUGCUGGUUCACACGAUUGGCUAUUUGGUGUCUCUUGAAUGCAAUAAAUCAGCCAUAUAGAGAUUGCCAAAUGCAUUUCUUUCUGCAUUCGAUAAUAUAUCAUGGAUUCCAGUCACCAACAUACUUCUGCAAUUAUAAAAAAGUUCAGGAUUUGUGUUGUCAAUGUGCAGGUCACAUAUCGAAGUUACAUUGAUCUGUAGAUUUUGUUGCUGGUGCAAGUUCUUUUGAUCAACGUAAAUGCUUGAAAAUUGGUGGUGAUUACACAAGUUGUGCAAGCUCAUCUCCUUAUCACCCUCCUCCUGCUCCACCUGUUUGGGGCACCAAGGGUAUCUUUCAAUUUUUGUUAUUCUAAAGGUACAUGGCUCUACCUCUUCCAUAUAUGGAGGACCCUCCGCGCCUCCACUAGCGACAAUUGCACCCAUCCCUCUACCACCAACUGGUGGUUAUGCACCUGUCCAGGUGAUGCUAUAAUUCAAUUAAACUCACCUCCAUCGAUCAAGGGACGUUGGUUGUUUUGUUUUAUCUAUAUUACUGGUAUGUUUUCAAACCACAGAUCAAUUAGAUUUUCAAAAGCUAUUGUUUCUCUUUCGCCGAACUAUAAUUUCCAGUAGCAUUAAAACUCCAUUAGGAAGUGGUAGUAUCAAUUUUUGGCCUCUCACUUGCUACGAAAAGUUUCUGUUUUCUUACCUCAAAGUAGAAUCUCGAACUUGUCAUUUGCUUUUGAUGAAUUGUGCCAGUUUUCUUUGUUCAAAACUUCAAAUUGAUUGCAUAUUUACGUAAAGUGCAUGGUGCAGUUCAUAAUCUCAGUAGCAUGGCAGCUUAAGUAGUAAAUGAAUGGCCAAUCAUCUAAUAAUCUCAAAGUUACAUGGUUAAUAGAAAAUUUUAAUGUCUCAUUAAAAAUUAUCACCAAUGAAACCACAUGUAUGAAUAAUUUAGUCAUUUAGACAAAGGAAAUUGAAAAAUUAGAAAUCCCCUGUGUUUUUUACCCUAUUUUCCCCUGUUUCUAUGAGUUGAACCUUGAGGUAUAUUAUUAGGUUUGACCAUUUGCUCCACUAGCUAUAGGCGUACGUCUUAUGCAUAUCUUUGAUACUGGCUUUUGGGUAUGUCUUCAAGCAAGGGUUUAUACUGCCAAGAUUGUUUCUGUUGUUUGACAUCUUCAUGAGAGGGGAAUCAUGCACCGACAUCGCAAACCUGAAAAUAUACUUACGGACAGUGAAGCUCAUGCUCAGAUAGAUUAUACCAUGUUUUUUGGACUCCAUUGUUUUUUCAUGUAUGAAAGCUCGUUGCUUGUACUAUUUGUGAGAUAACAAGGAACUCAAAUGUAUCAUCCUGGAUUUCCCAUUCUGCCAAGGCUCCAAACUAGACGAUUACCAAGUCUUUGGCUUUUAAGUUUUUUGUUACUGAUUAUGUUCAAAUAUUCUAUCCCUGAUAAGUCAGUUUAGUCAUUUUCAACAUCUUAUCUUGUAUCUCAGCUUUAGUUUUUAUUAUUUUCCUUGGAUACUAAAUGUUGUUAGUGUUAAUAUUAAAAUUACGAUUUGUAUUGGGGUGCAAAAAAUUAUAAUAUGAAAUAAUUUUGAUUUUGGG